AUUCAUACAUUGUAUAUGAGGUUGGAGUAAACUGGCUCACACAGUAUAUUAUAUGAACGCUGUUUGUGUGUGUGUAAAUCAUUUAUACUUUUUUCAUAAUAUAUUAUAUGUCUUGAUCACUUUAUAAUGCAGAAUUAAAUAUUGUAAUAAUAAUAAGAAAGACAAUGUAACAUGUUGAUAUAAUACUAAUUGAUAUUUGUUAAUAUAGUCUGUAGGCAUUGUGUAAAUAUUACAAAUUCAAAUUGAUUAUACAUAAAUACACACAACAUUACAAAUAUUAAAGGUAUUUUCAUCAGAUUUCAUCUGAGUGGCCUUUGAUCUAGUCAAAUUUCAGAGGAGGCAUCCUUACCUCUUCCCCUGUGUAUACCCCUACCAGUAGCAAUCAGCUGUAAAAUCUUGACAAAUCCAAACAUGCAAAAUGUGCCCAUUGUUGUCACAUAAUGCCUCAAAAUGACUAUAUUUCUUAUAAAAUAAGGCUAAUUUUAUUAUGGAGCCUCUCUGUAAGAUCUAACCCCACUACUGAUUCCAAGGAUGUGACCAUUCUGCAUUUCAACGACAUCUACAAUGUAGAGCCCUCAGCUAGUGAGCCGGUGGGUGGGGCUGCCAGGUUUUGUUCCUUGAUUAAGAGCUACAGCUAUCUCCAACCCCUUGUUCUAUUCAGUGGGGAUGUUUUCUCUCCAAGUCCUUUGAGUUAUUUCACCAAAGGUGCUCAGAUGUCGGCUGUUCUCAAUGAGUGUGGGGUUCAUGCAGCUAUUUUUGGAAACCACGAUUUUGAUUAUGGAUUGAACGUUUUAAAACAGCGGGUGGAAGAGACACAGUUUCCUUGGAUACUGUCCAAUGUAAUGACAGACAACAAUCUGACCCUUGCACAAAGUCAACGUACUCUGGUGGUGCAAAGAAACAACAAACGUAUCGGACUGAUAGGACUGACUGAACAGAAGUGGCUUGAUGUUCAAAUUACUAUUGACCCAGUUAGAGUACACUAUCAAGACUUCAUCCUUAUCUGCAAUGACCUGACAGAGUAUCUUCGCAAUCAGGGUUGCGACUAUGUUAUAGCACUGACUCACCUGCGAAUGAAAAAUGACAUCAAGUUGGCAGAAGGUUGUCCAGGUGUAGACCUAAUCCUAGGAGGCCAUGAUCAUGAAUAUCAAGUAAUUCAGGUCAAUGGGACGUACAUUGUGAAGAGUGGAAGUGACUUUAAAAGUCUUUCUAAAAUUCAUCUCCAAUUUAGAACAAAUGUUAUUGAACCAAAAAUUCAAGAAAUUAAUGUAACUUCUAACAUUCAAGAGGAUAAUAUUCUAAAGAACUUGCUGAGGAAAUACUCUGAUGUAUUGGAGAGGGAGGGAGACAAGCAGCUUCUAGUCUUGUCAGAGGCAAUGGACGCACGUGUCAAUGAGUUAUGGCGUGCUGAGUCUAGCCUGGGCAACUGGCUGAGUGAUGCUGUACUAUCAGUAACCGCAGCAGAUAUUGUGCUGCUCAACUCUGGUAUGUUCAAAGCCAAUAGGGAGUUCCCAGCUGGACCCUUCACACGGCAGCACUUCGCAGCUUUACUGCCCAUAACCAGUGCCAUGGUGAUGCUCAACAUCACUGGUCAGACUGUGCUGGAGAUGUUAGAGAAUGCAGUGAGCCGUUACCCAGAGCCUGAUGGGAGGUUUGGAAAUGUGGCAGGGGUACAGUUUAGUUUCAACCCCGAGGCUAGGAUGGGGCAAAAGGUGAUCCCCCACCAGGUGAUAGUCGGAGCCGGGAAGCUGAAGCUGGACAGAUAUUACAAGCUGGCCACCAGAGUCUACCUACAAAAGGGCUAUGACGGCUACACGAUGCUACAGGGAACUCCCGAACUUGAGAAACAGGUGUGUGCUUGACUCUUGAAAUGAUUAUUGAAACUUAUUUGGAGACUCUGCAGAAGAUAUCAAAAAACUGGUUGAAAUUCUUUCAUUUAAUUACUCCUUCAAAUCAGCGUCAUUUAUGCCUGUUUCCAGAAUCUGGGCCAAUAAUGUUAUGCCCCAAAACUGACAAGAGGAUAAAUCCGUGCUUCAAAGAAUGCACCAAUAUAAAUCAAUGAUUAAUUUUACACUGCAGCAUAAGUAAGCUAUUAAAAUGUAAUUGUUAUUUUUGGGAGUAAUUUUUUUAUAUUUUUUACAAAGUAACUGUUAACAAAAUAUUUAUUAUUAAAUUAGAGAUAAAAGAUUAUAAUUGUGCCACGAAUUUAAAAUAUGGCUCCUAUCUUGUUCGUAAAAAAGUUUCUGAAACUUUUCUAUAAUUCAUGAAGAAAGAUGAUUCAAUGAAGAACUUCUUAAUAUGAUAACAAUCUUAAAUAAACUUCUUUAACCCAGAA
RNAcentral lists this unclassified non-coding RNA (2335 nucleotides) under Homalodisca vitripennis (glassy-winged sharpshooter). Its description in RNAcentral is "mannosylglucosyl-3-phosphoglycerate phosphatase-like, transcript variant X2". Lineage: Eukaryota; Metazoa; Arthropoda; Insecta; Hemiptera; Cicadellidae. The record is from RNAcentral.